RNAcentral lists this ribosomal RNA (371 nucleotides) under uncultured organism. RNAcentral's name for it is "partial 16S ribosomal RNA". It matches the Rfam family "Bacterial small subunit ribosomal RNA", at positions 527 to 896 of the family's 1533-position model. The record is from RNAcentral.
GUAGGUGGCAAGCGUUGUCCGGAAUUAUUGGGCGUAAAGCGCGCGCAGGCGGUUCUUUAAGUCUGAUGUGAAAGCCCACGGCUCAACCGUGGAGGGUCAUUGGAAACUGGAGAACUUGAGUACAGAAGAGGAAAGCGGAAUUCCACGUGUAGCUGUGAAAUGCGUAGAGAUGUGGAGGAACACCAGUGGCGAAGGCGGCUUUCUGGUCUGUAACUGACGCUGAGGCGCGAAAGCGUGGGGGAGCAAACAGGAUUAGAUACCCUGGUAGUCCACGCCGUAAACGAUGAGUGCUAAGUGUUAGGGGGUUUCCGCCCCUUAGUGCUGCAGCUAACGCAUUAAGCACUCCGCCUGGGAGUACGGCCGCAAGGCUG